CAAUAAAGUUGUCUUAACUGUUGCAUUUCAAAGAUGGUUUGGUUUCCCCAGAACUGCAAGGUAGGAUUUUGCUACCUACUGCAUAAUUUCUACAAAUCACUGAUUCUCAUCUCAAUUUCCUCAUCUAAAAACUAGAGGUAACAAUAGCUGAGCUACCUUCCUUAUUAGGUGUGUUGGGAGGAUUCAGUGAGGUCGCAUGUUUGCUAUGAGGUAUCCCAAGGUGGUUCUUGGUUUGCUUUGGUUGUAUCUGAGUGGGGAGACUGAGCAGUGCCAUUGAGAAAACUACCCUUCGCCCUGGGUCAUGGCAGAAAUGUGGGGCCUUGGACACCAGCUGUUCCCCAGGAGGUUUUCCCAGCUGCUGCUAUGGCCAACUCUGUGGUGGAGGAGCCCAGGGGUGGGGGAUUCCAAGAGCAGACAUUCCAUGUAGGAUGGAGCCAAACCAGGUCAAAGGCAGAACAGUUGAACUAUUUGGGAAACAGAUAUGAAUGCUGAGAGCACUUGUUUGCACAAAUAAGAAGGUGGAAAUGGAAGGAAUUUUAUGAUGGCAAUUUCUCAAAAUUCUUUGAUCAACAGGUGAAUUUUAUGGCAGAAAUUGUAAUAGUAUUUUCUUAUCAAAAUUAUUAUUCAUGAUCUGUCACUUGCAUCUUGAUGAGGUUCUCCUUCAAUUUUGUUGACAGCUAAGAAGUGGAACUACAUGACUUGCAGAAGAAUUUGUCACCCAGUUCUGAGAGCAUUUUAUUGGGAGAGGCAAUCUGCCAUGGACCCUGAGUUUCCCUGCAUAUCCUUGCUGACUAUGCCAAGAAGACAAGGCUCUGGCUGCUUUUUAUCUGGGCCAUUUCUCAGGGCAGUGAGCUACCUUGAGAUGAGGUAGCAUUUCUACCCAGUCAAAGAGCAAGCUUGCUUCUGCUUGCUAUAAAAGUGUUGAAUCCCCCAAGCUCAGUGUGAUACAAAUCCACAGUGUAGACAGCAUGCAUCUAAGUCCAUCCAUCUUCUUGUGUUGCCCCCAUGGGACUUGAAUGACAUAGGAAACCAAUUCGAACAAUCAUCAUGCCAGGCUUCUUGCUGUGCCAAGAGUAAUAAAGGCCAUAGUCUCUGACCCACAAGUUUCAUGUCUUUUCCACCAUCCAUGAAACCUUAACAGACUAGUUUAUUAGCUUUUAAGUAGGAUAAAAUCCCAGAUCCCUCACAGACCCUGACAUAGUUAUGUUUUUAAUUUCUGGGGAGAAAACCAAGAAGGUAGUACCAUGACUCAUUAAAUGACUGUUAAUUGUAGCAGUUACUCUUCCACGUGGAGCUAUCUUGUUUACUAUAAUGCAAUCAAAGUGUUAGAAAAACCUAAAUAUUAUUAAUUUCAAUGCAUGCUUGUCAAUAUGAUAUUUUUGAAAAACACUUUGAAAAUCUCAUCAUGUACUUUAAAUAUAUAUUCAUCAAAAAUUUGGAGCCAUGGGGGCCAGCAUGGUGGUGUAACAGUUAAGUUCGUGUGUUCUGCUUUGCUGGCCUGGGGUUCCCUGGUUCAAAUCCCAGGCGUGGACACAGACACCACUUGUCAAGCCAUGCUUUGGCAGAUGUCCCACAUCUAAAAUAGAAGAAGAUGAGCACUUGUUAGCUCAGGGCCAAUUUUCCUCAGCAAAAAGAGGAAGAUUAGAUCUUAGCUCAGGGGUAAUCCCUCCCCCCUCCAAAAAAAUUUUGCAGCCAUAGAUUUAGUUCAUUCAAUUUUUAGGAGUAUUUGCCAGUAUAACCUGAUUGGCAAAGUCAGUCUUUAUAGUCAAACCAAUCAGCCAGAAUAAACUUAAAUAAACUUAUUCAAUGCCACCUAUCUGUCUUUAUUAAACAUGUUAAUACACCUUUUUGGGAAACUCAUUUUAUUUCUGAAUGCAACAAUAAAUGGGUAUUAUCUCAAACAUCUCAAAAAAGAUGGAAUUCAGUGUCCCUAACUUUGUAGCAUUUGCCAACCUAAAGGAAACAUCCAACGUUCUGUGUAAAUUCAGGCUCAACAUUUUGGCAACUCAAGCUUGUUCAUGAAUAAAACAAGUUUCAUUAAGGUUUAAAGCAUGGAUCUGACGAAAGAAGCCCCUUUCAUGCCUGGCCAUUGUGGUAGCUCCACAGACAGACUUUUCUAUUCACUCUCCCCAAAGAAAGCCCAGUCAACACAAAUAAAAGUAGGAAAAUUUGAAAAUCACUUCCCCAGUUACAAACCUAGAAAAGUCUUUGAAUGCUAUAAUUUUUAACAAUAAUGCUGUUUCCUGUGCUGUAAUGGGGGAUAUAAAUUAUUAAUUGGGAAUGGUUGGAAAUAUCCCUAGAUUCAUCAAACUGUAAGGCAAAUAUUUUGUUUACUGCAAUUUUUGUCACAAUCUGCUCAAUGACUUUUUGGUGAUUUUCCAGGAUAUCUGAACACAGCAUCAGUUUAAUUGCAGGAAUGCUGUUUCCUGAAUUCCUGAACCACAUAUUCACCUGCCUGCUGAAUAUCUUCCUCUACGUUUCCAAUAGACAUCUCAAACUUGAGAUCUUGAGCACUCAACUCC
Molecule: long non-coding RNA, 2522 nt
Filed under: Equus caballus (horse)
Lineage: Eukaryota; Metazoa; Chordata; Mammalia; Perissodactyla; Equidae
Description: lncRNA (ENSECAG00000041354.2)
Source: RNAcentral